CGAUACCCUAGUCGAUUUCGAGAUCCAACCAACCCUGCUUAUCUUAUCUCUCAGGUUUUAAAACAGUCUUCGAUGAUAAAGAAGGCUACGCAGGAGGAGGCUGUGGCUGUGACAUCGGUCUUUUGGGACAUCAGUAUGUGUCUGGUUCUCCCUUGCUUUGAUCCUCGUCGGGUCCGUCCGUGUAUUAAACGGGUUUUGGAGAAUUCUCUUGUCCUCUCAACAUCACUGCCGUUGGCGUACUAAAAGACGUCCAGAAUGACAUCCUGAGAUGAGUCUAUUCCAGUGGAAUCGCUCUUACUAACGUCCCCUAAGGUUCUAUGGACAUUUUGGAUCUUAUUUAUAGAUUUACCGUGAGGAUCCCACCUCCAGCUAAUAUAAUGGUCAUAUCCGAUCCGGAACCUGGUCUUUUUGACUUCCUACAAAUGAUGGGAUACAACCUUCUGCAGCCGUUUCCAUAUAAUUCUUUUCAAAACUUUCUUCUGGCAGAUUCAAGGGCACUUGAGGAGUAGAAGUGCAGUGAAACGGGUGACUCUGCCUGAUGGGUUUGCUCACUAUGCUGCCGUGAUCUUGCUGUCCAACACGAAUAGGCUAUAAAAUUUCACCUCUCAUCUCUCAAGUAGAGCACAUAAACGGAAGGUAAUCAAGCAUCCUAGUUACAAGUUGGUGAAAUAGUUCUAGACUCCAACUCAACAAACCCACUAGAUUCCUUGGUCAGCAAACUCAAUCUCCUGUUACGAAUUUGGCGCGAUAAAACUUUAGUAGCUGGUUUCUAUUUUUAAUAUUAUGUCUGCUGGAAAUACAAAGAGAUUUGAGGAUUUUGAUAAAGCCUGCACAUUCUAUCUAGUAAUACGCAGCGAGCAGAAUCAAUCUAAAACCAUCACAUUUAACCACUGUUUCUUUACAAUGUAUAGGAAAAAAUUACUUACUAAUGAAAGCAUCGAGUCUAGCAAAAAAGCACCAGUAAAAACAGUAGGAAACAAAAAAUCCAGUGGCAACUCCGAGAAUAAAAAUAAACUUCAACUCCUCUUCAUCCUCUGUAUCCGCUUUAUUUGUGGUUGUAGCAGGCAGCUUUGUUGAAGCCUUGCAGGAAGUCAGCAGUAUGCCACCGCACAACAAGGGGUUUCCUUUAAAAUUUGCUUGUGGAAAAGUAUCAAACUGACUUCCUGUGGGUAUUGGCCCGUCGAGACUGUUGUUCACCACGUUGAAAUAAGACAUAUAAUGGAGGCUUGUUAGCGACCAAGGAAUUCUACCAGAUAAGUGAUUGUUGGACAGGUCAAGCCUCUCUAAGCUGGUGAGUUUCGACAACUCAUGUGGGAUGAUGCCAGACAAAUAGUUAUGAGAAAGCUCGAGGACAUGAAGAACCUUUAACUGGCCAACUUCGAUCGGUAUACUUCCUUUCAGGUUAUUCCUUCUUAUGUAGAUCCCAGGUGGGAGGCUAAACAGCUGAUUGUAUUGCUGAUGAGUUGUAACAUUAUUGGGACUGACAAAAACUGGCAGCUUUAGAUAGUUCCUUUCUGUUGCGUCGUAGGCCUUUUGGGACAUCAGAGCCUUUAGUUGGAAUAAAUCCUUCGGCAGCUCUCCUGAAAGAAGAUUUUCUGAGAGAUCAAUAUAGAAAAGGUGGGGAAAAGUUCCCAACCAACCAGGAAUUGACCCUACAAGCUGGUUGUGGGACAAAUCUAUGACUGCUAAGCUCUUCAAUUUGAUUAGCCAAGCUGGUAUUUCACCUCUCAGUCCAGAUCCACCGCUAGCAAAUAUUUGGAGAUUAGGGAAUCCAUCUGAGGAAAUCAAGUCUUUGUCGCUUGGAAAUGUUUCGUUGUAAAAAUUCUUUCCUAUGAGGAGAGUGGACAGAUUCCUGCAGCCCUGCAGAAUUCCAAGAGCGCCUGUAAUGUUCAUCAGUUUAUUGUCUGAAAGAGACAAGAUCGAUAGAGAUUCAAGUUCCAGUACGUGAGGAGAUAUCUGUCCUGUUAACUUAUUGCUUGCAAAUCUCAUCGCUGAUAGAGAUUUGCAGGAGUGAACCCUCCAAGGGAAAUCACCGCUGAAGCUAUUGUUUCCGAGAUCUAGAAUGCUAAGGCUCUGAAAGCGGGAAAAGUCAAGCUCUGAUAAGGUUCCUUCCAGCCGAUUAAGCCUCAGAUUCAACUUGACGAGAUUAGUACAAUUUGCAAGAGAAGGCGGGACUGUACCAGUGAUGUUAUUGAUAUGGAGUUGGAGGCUUUGCAGGCGAGAGAGCUGACCUAUGUCCAUUGGUAUUUCUCCUCCAAGGUGAUUGGAGUACAGCUCGAGCGAUUUUAGUUUUGUGAGGUGGGUGAUGUCAUCAUUGAUCUUUCCAGAAAGAUGAUUGACGGGUAGAAAGAGUUGCUCGAGCUCCGAAAGAUUGUAUAUGUCACUUGGGAUUUCACCAGAGAUAUUGUUGAAGCCUGCUUGUAGAACACUUAGCUUCAAACAUCUCCCUAGUCCUUGCGGAAUAUUACCGGUAAAAUCAUUGUAGGAGAAAUCCAGUUUGCUGAGCUGCGGUGAACUCUUGCACAUAAACGAAGGGAUUGAGCCUGUGAAGCUGUUCUUGCUGACAUUGAAACUGAUUAAAUCGAAAGUUCCUUGCAUAAAAAUAGAACUAGGGAGGAUUUCGCCUUGGAGAAAAUUGCUUGACAGAUCAACUAUCCGAAUUGGGAAACAUCUGUUGCUUCCAUUUCUAAAUGUUUGUUCAACUGGCAACUCACCAUCGAGGCUGUUGUAACUAAGAUCAAGAACUUUGAGCUGAUCAAGGGCUGAGAGAAAGCCAGAUGGGAGAUGACCGGAGAGACGGUUAUGAGAAAGAUUGAGUUGAGAGAGAUGGUGGAGACGCAGAACAGACAAAGGGAGUUUACCAUAUAGUGCUCUAAAGGGCAAUGAGAUUGCAGUGAUGUGGCUAUCCGGGGAAUCAUCGCAGGUUAUUCCUUCCCAUGAGCAACAAUCAAUGGAUGGGUUCCAAUUCAGAGGAGAAACAGAAGAAGAAACGUUUCCAGAGAACCACAGUAGGGAUUCUCGAUCUUGCGAGUUGCAGAGAGCCUCUGAAACUGCAAUAGAAAGGACACUGAUGAAAAGAACACACUGAAGGAGUAUGCCAAUCAUGUGAAAACUCAGAGCUUGUAUUGGUCUUGUGGUUGAUGAAGUUCUCACAAAACCUUUGGCUUUGAAUCUCCCCUCAUUAGUCAUGGUGAGAACAAGAACAAGACGAGAAACAGACAAAGAAGAUGAAAAAACUUGUUGGCCAGUGUUGACUAAGGGGGAAUAGCCCAGACAUAACAAAAUUAGACUUGUCGUACAUCUUUAAUAUUUUUUUUAUCUGUUUCUUUGUCCUGACGCUUUCAUUAUUCCUGUGAUCAAUUUUCUCAUACCAUUGGUCCAUCGUUAAUCC
RNAcentral lists this long non-coding RNA (3391 nucleotides) under Arabidopsis thaliana (thale cress). RNAcentral's name for it is "potential natural antisense gene, locus overlaps with AT1G17250 (AT1G17255)". The record is from RNAcentral. Lineage: Eukaryota; Viridiplantae; Streptophyta; Magnoliopsida; Brassicales; Brassicaceae.